Molecule: RNA transcript, 3590 nt
Organism: Vigna angularis (adzuki bean)
Lineage: Eukaryota; Viridiplantae; Streptophyta; Magnoliopsida; Fabales; Fabaceae
Exons: 2
Source: RefSeq, a predicted model, not a curated record
UGAAGAUACAAUAGUUUAUGUUUGAAUAAAAAUAUGUAGUCCUUCUUCUUUGUCUUGAAAUUGCUUUUUAGGGUUUAUCAGAUAUUGGCGGCAUGUUUGGAUUGACGUCGUUUUACGGCAAACGCGCGUUAUACCGAAGCCGCUGUCUCUAACUUCUGCGUCCUUUUACCAGUUUUUAUUUUCUUUUCUUGAAGUGCUUCUUCAGAUUCGAAAAUGGAGGAGGGAAGUUCCGAUGGCAAUUGCGACCGCGAUCGAAUCCGCAACAUCUGCAUCCUCGCCCACGUCGACCAUGGCAAGACCACCCUCGCCGACCACCUAAUUGCGGCUGCGGGCGGCGGCGUCGUUCACCCGAAGCUCGCCGGGCGUGUCCGCUUCAUGGACUACCUUGACGAGGAGCAGCGGCGCGCCAUCACCAUGAAGAGCUCCUCCAUCCUCCUACGCUACCGCGGCCACGCGGUGAACCUCAUCGACUCCCCUGGUCACAUCGACUUCUGCAGCGAGGUCUCCACGGCGGCGCGCCUCAGCGACGGUGCGCUCCUCCUGGUCGACGCCGUGGAGGGCGUCCACAUUCAGACACACGCCGUCCUCCGCCAGUGCUGGAUCGAGCGCCUCACCCCUUGCCUCGUUCUCAACAAGCUCGAUCGCUUGAUCACCGAACUCAAACUCACUCCCUCCGAAGCUUACACACGCCUAUUGCGAAUCGUGCACGAGGUCAACGGAAUAGUCAGCGCUUACAAAUCAGAAAAAUACCUCUCCGACGUCGAUUCUCUACUCGCCGGCACCGGAACCAUCGGCAGCACUGGUGAGACUCUGGAGGAUUACGACGAUAACGAGGACGUUUUUCAGCCGCAGAAGGGGAAUGUUAUAUUCGCUUGCGCCUUAGACGGUUGGGGAUUUGGGAUUCGUGAGUUUGCGGAGAUAUACGCGUCCAAGCUUGGUGCAAGUGUGAAUGCGUUGUUGAGAGCGUUGUGGGGACCUAGGUAUUUUAACCCUAAGACGAAGAUGAUUGUGGGGAAGAAAGGUGCUGGUGCUAAUAAGAAACCUAUGUUUGUUCAGUUUGUGUUGGAACCCUUGUGGCAGGUUUAUCAGGGGGCGUUGGAAGGGGACAAGGGGCUGGUGGAGAAGGUUAUUAGAUCGUUUAGUUUGUCGGUGCCACCGCGCGAGCUGCAGAAUAAGGAUGUGAAGGUCGUGCUGCAGGCUGUUAUGAGCCGGUGGCUUCCGCUGUCGGACGCGGUUUUGUCGAUGGUGGUUAGGUGUCUGCCGAACCCGGUUGCGGCACAGGCGUUUCGGAUAUCGAGGUUGAUUCCGAAAAGGGAGGUUGUUGGGGAUGUGGUGGAGGAGCGCGUGGUGGAGGAGGCGGAGAUGGUGAGGAAGGCAGUGGAAGGGUGUGACUGUGGGGAUGAGGUUCCUUGUGUGGCUUUCGUGUCGAAGAUGUUUGCUUUGCCGGUUAAGAUGGUGCCCGGACAGAGGGGGGAGGUUGGCAAUGGCUAUGGUGACGAAGGGGAGGGUGAUUCCGAUGAGUGUUUUCUGGCUUUUGCUAGGAUUUUUAGUGGGGUUUUGUAUGCGGGGCAGAGAGUUUUUGUGCUUUCUCCAUUGUAUGAUCCGUUGAAAGGAGAAUCGAUGCAGAAGCAUAUACAGGAGGCUGAGUUGAAAUCGUUGUAUUUGAUGAUGGGACAAGGGUUGAAAGUUGUGACAUCUGCCAAGGCAGGAAAUAUUGUUGCCAUUGGAGGUCUUGGGCAGCAUAUAUUGAAGAGUGCUACUCUUUCUUCCACUAGGAAUUGUUGGCCUUUUUCGAGUAUGGCAUUCCAAGUUGCCCCGACUUUGAGAGUAGCGAUUGAGCCGUCCGACCCUGCUGAUGUGGGUGCGUUGCUCAGGGGCUUGAGGCUUCUCAAUCGAGCAGAUCCGUUUGUUGAGGUCACAGUGUCUUCUAGGGGAGAGCAUGUUCUUGCUGCUGCUGGAGAAGUUCAUCUUGAGAGGUGCGUAAAGGAUUUGAAGGAUAGGUUUGCCAAGGUAAGCUUGGAGGUUUCUCCACCUCUUGUGUCCUACAAAGAAACCAUCGAGGGAGAGGUAUUGAACGUGAUGGAAAAUUUGAAAGUUCUUAGCAGGAGAUCAGAUUAUGUUGAAAAAACAACACCCAAUGGAAGAUGUGUUGUUCGGGUGCAGGUGAUGAAACUUCUACCUUCUCUGACAAAGGUGCUCGAUGAAAGCUCUGAUUUACUUGCAGAUAUCAUUGGAGUAAACUCUGGGCAUACAUUAAAAAGUUUGGAAACCCAGAGACCAAGUAUUCUUGAAAAUGAAAACCCAGUUGAAGUGCUAAAAAAACGCAUAUUGGAUGCAGUGGAGGGUGAUAUUUUGAGCAGGAAUGAAGAUGACAAGGACCAUGCAGAGAAAUGUAAACUGAAGUGGCUAAAGGUUUUGAGGAGGAUAUGGGCACUUGGACCAAGGCAGAUUGGUCCUAACCUACUAUUCACUCCUGAUAACAAAGCAGAGAGUACCGAUAACUCUGUCUUAAUACGUGGUUGUUCUCAUGUAUCAGAGAGGUUGGGUUUUGUGGCCGAUUCUAGUACCAGUGACUCUGUUGCCGAGAGGCCUUCAACUGCAAACCAAGCUCUGUACAUGGACGCUGAACAUCUUGAGAGUAGUGUAAUAUCUGGGUUCCAGCUGGCCACUUCAGCCGGACCCUUGUGCGAGGAACCUAUGUGGGGUUUGGCAUUUGUUGUUGAGGCUCGCAUAUCUCCAUUUUCAGGGCAUGGUGAUGAAUCUGAAACGCCCCAGCAAUCUGAGCAGUAUGGCAUCUUUGCAGGGCAGGUAAUAGCAACUGUCAAAGAUGCAUGUAGAGCAGCUGUGCUUCAGAAUAAGCCACGGCUUGUAGAAGCAAUGUACUUCUGUGAAUUGAAUACACCUACUGAAUAUUUGGGUCCUAUGUAUGCUGUACUUUCCCGGAGAAGGGCCCGAAUUUUGAAGGAAGAGAUGCAAGAAGGUUCCCCUUUCUUCACUGUCCAUGCAUAUGUUCCUGUUUCUGAGAGCUUUGGUUUUGCGGAUGAGCUUAGAAGGUGGACUUCUGGUGCUGCAAGUGCACUUCUUGUCCUUAGCCACUGGGAAGCACUUUCUGAGGAUCCUUUCUUUGUACCUAAAACAGAAGAGGAAAUUGAAGAGUUUGGAGAUGGUUCUAGUGUUCUUCCAAACACCGCAAGAAAGUUAAUUGAUGCUGUCAGGCGUCGCAAGGGCCUUCCUGUGGAGGAAAAGGUUGUGCAGCAUGGAACCAAGCAGAGGACACUGGCUCGUAAAGUCUGAGGCAUCUCGUUACAGUUGUCUCCUUAGCUGUUACGAGAACAUCUAGUUGUGGAAUAUGUGUAACUCAUACUUCAUGUACUGUACCGUUAGGAACAAUUUUUCAUUUGCCAAAUGUUGCCAUGGACAUGUGGAUGCAACACUGAUAUUAAAGCAUGUAUUUUGAAGGGUGUCUUUUGAAUCUAAUUUGUACGAGACUUCAAGCUGGUGGGAGUCUCUUCAAUCCACAGGAGGGAACUCAAACUCCAGCUUCCUGAUUCAUUUCCUAAUCUUCAACUCUUUAUCAGGUUCAGGUUCAU